This 249-nucleotide long non-coding RNA is filed under the name Malus domestica (apple). Its description in RNAcentral is "long non-coding RNA (MDOM_LNC020169)". The record is from RNAcentral. Lineage: Eukaryota; Viridiplantae; Streptophyta; Magnoliopsida; Rosales; Rosaceae.
AGAUAUGAUUCUAAAGUCUUUGGCCAAAGCAUAUGAAUAUGACUUAGGAAGUUUGUUCCAAAUCAUAUUCAAAAGAAUCAUAUAAGAGAGUAUCACAUUGGAUAGUAGACAUGAAACAAACUAUCACUUAAACAAUGUGAUUAAGAGUAUUGUAUUAGAGCAGGACCGUAUUGCAUUGUAGUUGUAAAUGGAUAGGUUCUCCAACCAAUUCUACUUAGCUUGGGUAACCAUGAUAUGCUGCUAGGUGUC